This is a long non-coding RNA of Equus quagga, 872 nucleotides long. RefSeq lists it as uncharacterized. The transcript has 3 exons. The record is from RefSeq and is a predicted model, not a curated record. Lineage: Eukaryota; Metazoa; Chordata; Mammalia; Perissodactyla; Equidae.
GCAGGCUGCAGGACACACUGACCUGGGGUCAAAAGACAGGGAAUCUGCUGCUGGUUCUUCUUCCCAAGGGGCCAGGGGAGAGGAUGAAGAGAAAGUCAUACGGAGUGAGCAGAUGAAAGAAAGUUAAUGGAGACCACGGACAAGGGGCCAGACAAGCCUUACUUCAGAUCCUCACUCUUUCUCUUAAUAGCUGUGUGAUCUCAGGCAAAUUGCUUGACCUUUCUCUUCGUCAAUAAGAAAAGGAAAAAAUAGCAGGUAACAUUUACUGAGCAAUUCCAACAUGCCAUCGCUUUCAGUGCUUUAUAUUGUUAAGGAAUAUAAUCCUCCAGACUCCUGAUGGCCCGUCGUAGAGACGAAGCAGCUGGGGAGAAGAGGACAGGACAUAUAUCCAGGCAGCCCGUGUCAGGGCCCAGCCUGUGACCACAGCAACAGCAGCAGCAGUGUGUACUUAGCAUAACGCCGGCCUGCGGUCAGACCCGGUGCUGUCGUGGACUGUGGCAGGGAGUGGGGCUGUUCCCAUCCAUGAGCAACAGCUGCCAGUGCUACGAGGGACAAAGUUGCUCUCACUGCUGUGGUCACACCCAACGUGUCACCUCCUCCUCCUCCCGGCACCAGGAGGGCAGCCGGCCAGCACCUCAGAUGGACUCCAGAACCAGGUUACCAAUGGCCUGCUGGGUCUAACUGGACGUCCGUGCUCCCGUGCGAGGUUCACUGGGUCUCAAAGCCAAGCCCCCUCGUGCCGUGCUGACUCCUCCCGGGCUGGACAGAGUUCCUUAGAACCAGAACGAAUCAGGAUAAAUUCUUAGAAGUGAAAUUCCUAGAAGAGUCUUCAUACAUCUUGAAAAUCUGCUUUCCAGAAACAUGGAUUGAAG